This 253-nucleotide ribosomal RNA is filed under the name uncultured bacterium. RNAcentral's name for it is "partial 16S ribosomal RNA". It matches the Rfam family "Bacterial small subunit ribosomal RNA", at positions 524 to 776 of the family's 1533-position model. The record is from RNAcentral.
GACGUAGGGGGCCAGCGUUGUUCGGAAUUACUGGGUGUAAAGGGUUCGUAGGCGGUGCGGCAAGUCGGGAGUGAAAUCUCUGGGCUUAACCCAGAGGCUGCUUCCGAAACUGCUGUGCUUGAGUGUGGGAGAGGCGCGUGGAAUUGCAGGUGUAGCGGUGAAAUGCGUAGAUAUCAGGAGGAACACCGGUGGCGAAGGCGGGUCUCUGGGCCGUAACUGACGCUGAGGAGCGAAAGCGUGGGGAGCGAACAGG